RNAcentral lists this ribosomal RNA (446 nucleotides) under uncultured bacterium. RNAcentral describes it as "bacterial SSU rRNA". It matches the Rfam family "Bacterial small subunit ribosomal RNA", at positions 330 to 792 of the family's 1533-position model. The record is from RNAcentral.
UCCAGACUCCUACGGGAGGCAGCAGUGGGGAAUAUUGCACAAUGGGGGGAACCCUGAUGCAGCGACGCCGCGUGGGUGAAGGAGUAUUUCGGUAUGUAAAGCCCUCUCAGCAGGGAAGAACAAUGACGGUACCUGACUAAGAAGCACCGGCUAAAUACGUGCCAGCAGCCGCGGUAAUACGUAUGGUGCAAGCGUUAUCCGGAUUUACUGGGUGUAAAGGGAGCGCAGGCGGCGCGUUAAGCCUGGUGUGAAAGCCCGCGGCCCAACCGCGGGACUGCAUUGGGAACUGGCGCGCUGGAGUGCCGGAGGGGUAGGCGGAAUUCCUAGUGUAGCGGUGAAAUGCGUAGAUAUUAGGAGGAGCACCAGUGGCGAAGGCGACUUUCUGGACUGUACCUGACGCUGAGGCGCGAAAGCGUGGGUAGCGAACGGGAUUAGAUACCCCAGUA